GAUGAACGCUGGCGGCGUGCCUAAUACAUGCAAGUCGAGCGAAUGGAUUAAGAGCUUGCUCUUAUGAAGUUAGCGGCGGACGGGUGAGUAACACGUGGGUAACCUGCCCAUAAGACUGGGAUAACUCCGGGAAACCGGGGCUAAUACCGGAUAACAUUUUGAACCGCAUGGUUCGAAAUUGAAAGGCGGCUUCGGCUGUCACUUAUGGAUGGACCCGCGUCGCAUUAGCUAGUUGGUGAGGUAACGGCUCACCAAGGCAACGAUGCGUAGCCGACCUGAGAGGGUGAUCGGCCGCACUGGGACUUAGACACGGCCCAGACUCCUACGGGAGGCAGCAGUAAGGAAUCUUCCGCAAUUGACGAAAGUCUGACGGAGCAACGCCGCGUGAGUGAUGAAGGCUUUCGGGUCGUAAAACUCUGUUGUUAGGGAAGAACAAGUGCUAGUUGAAUAAGCUGGCACCUUGACGGUACCUAACCAGAAAGCCACGGCUAACUACGUGCCAGCCGCCGCCGUAA
RNAcentral lists this ribosomal RNA (515 nucleotides) under uncultured bacterium. RNAcentral's name for it is "partial 16S ribosomal RNA". It matches the Rfam family "Bacterial small subunit ribosomal RNA", at positions 28 to 523 of the family's 1533-position model. The record is from RNAcentral.